Non-coding RNA from Pelobates cultripes (western spadefoot toad), 295 nucleotides. The record is from the annotation of a GenBank genome assembly. NCBI's taxonomy places the organism in Eukaryota, Metazoa, Chordata, Amphibia, Anura, Pelobatidae.
CACUUACUCAAGCUGCAGUCCCAGCUAAAACUGCAUGCAAUUUUGAUUUGAUUUUGCUUUCACUCCAGAUUUGUCUAAAUCUUCUUCCCCCCAGCCCCUCCAUUUGUCUCAUUCCCUCUCUCUACACUACACACAGAGGAGCAGCACAGGACAAUGCUCCCCUCCUGCCGGUCACCCAGCAACUGUGGGCCCAGGGCUGGAGCGGCAGUGCACCAGCCCUGAAGUUGUGGUGGCUCAUGGUGACAGGGUUUGCUACUGCGGGCGGGACCUUUGUUGUGACAGGCCCAGUCACAGC